ACCGUCGUUGCGGGAGGCAAGCUGCUGCAGCCGUCCGCGGAGUCGGCCGUGAUCUACUCCGGCACGGCUAGCGGCAGUUGGUAUCACCUGCUCGUGGUCCAAGGUUACUUCCACGUCAAAGGCAUGCCAAACAAAGUGCACAUCAAGGGUUGCUCUUUCAGAGCUGGUGGCUACCAAUGGGCUUUGCAGUUCUACCCCAAUGGUAAUCGUUCGAUCAAUGCUGGUUUCUUGUCUGUUUUUCUUUUCCUUGACCAGGAUGUUGAACAGACGGUGAAGGUGCAUGUACAGUUUAGUUUCAUUGAUGAGGUUGCAAAACAAGAGCCCGCACAAAUCCAUGCAAGGGAAAAGGUUGGCUUCUUUAGCCGUGACCGUUCAUGGGGACGCCGUCGUCUCAUAAGAGGAGGAGAGGACCUUGAGAAGUCAGGGCAUCUCAAGGAUGAUUGUUUCACCAUCCGGUGCGACUUCCUCAUCGUCGAAGCAGCUGCUACCUUCAUCAAGGUGCCACCAUCUAACAUAUGUCAGCAUCUAAACCAUCUCUUCACGACGAAGGUCGGCACCGAUGUGACGUUCGAGGUUGGCAAUGAGACAUUCGCUGCUCACCGGUGCGUGCUUGCGGCCCGCUCCAUGGUAUUCAUGGCGGAGCUCUUCGGCCCCAUGAAGGAAGGCACCACGAUUGGAGCCAUACAUGUUGAUGAUAUGGAGCCAGACGUGUUCAAGGCCUUGCUUGAUUUCAUCUACAUGGACUCAAUGCCCAAGAUGGAAGGAGAAGCAGAAGAAGACGGAGCAGAGGUUCUUAUGUGGCUGAGGCACCUUCUUGCCGCAGCGGAUAGGUACCAUCUCCAACGGAACGGAGGGAGUAUGUGUGAAGAGAGGUUGUCGGAACACAUCGAUGUGACCUCGGUGACGGCUAUCCUUGGUGCAGCUACGCAGCACCAUUGCGGCGGUCUCAAGGAGGCCUGUCUGGAGUUCCUCAAAGGCCAAUCCGCUGAAGACCUGCGACAGGUUAUGGCCACGAGUGACUGGGAGCACAUUGUUGUAACCUAUCCCUCUGUAGUGAACGAGCUCAUCGUCAAGCUU
RNAcentral lists this ribosomal RNA (1077 nucleotides) under Triticum aestivum (bread wheat). Its description in RNAcentral is "partial small subunit ribosomal RNA". Lineage: Eukaryota; Viridiplantae; Streptophyta; Magnoliopsida; Poales; Poaceae. The record is from RNAcentral.